AUUGAACGCUGGCGGCAGGCCUAACACAUGCAAGUCGAGCGAGCGGCGGACGGGUGAGUAAUUUCUGGGUAACUGCCUGAUGGAGGGGGAUAACUACUGGAAAAGGUAGCUAAUACCGCAUAUCAUAAGAUGUGCCCAGAUGUGAUUAGCUCGUAGGUGGGGUAACGGCGCACCUAGGCGACGAUCCCUAGCUGGUCUGAGAGGAUGAACAGCAACACUGGAACGGAGACACGGUCCAGACUCCUACGGGAGGCAGCAGUGGGGAAUAUUGCACAAUGGGCGCAAGCCUGAUGCAGCCAUGCCGCGUGGGUGAAGAAGGCCUUCGGGUUGUAAAGCACUUUCAGCGGGGAGGCGUUACCCGCAGAAGAAGCACCGGCUAACUCCGUGCCAGCAGCCGCGGUAAUAC
Molecule: ribosomal RNA, 406 nt
Filed under: uncultured bacterium
Lineage: Bacteria
Description: partial 16S ribosomal RNA
Rfam family: Bacterial small subunit ribosomal RNA
Source: RNAcentral